This 480-nucleotide ribosomal RNA is filed under the name uncultured bacterium. RNAcentral describes it as "bacterial SSU rRNA". It matches the Rfam family "Bacterial small subunit ribosomal RNA", at positions 29 to 507 of the family's 1533-position model. The record is from RNAcentral.
AUGAACGCUAGCGGCAGGCUUAAUACAUGCAAGUCGAACGGUAACAGGUCUUCGGACGCUGACGAGUGGCGCACGGGUGAGGAACACGUACACAAUCUACCUUAUACUGGAGAAUAGCCCGGGAACUAGGGAUUAAUACUCCAUAGUCUUUAAUGAUCACAUGAGAAAUAAAGUAAAGCUUCGGCGGUAUAAGAUGAGUGUGCGUCCCAUUAGAUUGUUGGUGAGGUAACGGCUCACCAAGUCGACGAUGGGUAGCUGGCGUGAGAGCGCGACCAGCCACACUGGCACUGAGACACGGGCCAGACUCCUACGGGAGGCAGCAGUAGGGAAUAUUGGUCAAUGGACGAAAGUCUGAACCAGCCAUGCCGCGUGGAGGAUGACUGCCCUCUGGGGUUGUAAACUCCUUUUAUAUGAGAAGAAACCUCUGGAUUCACUCCAGAGCUGACGGUAUCAUAUGAAUAAGCACCGGCUAACUCCGUG